RNAcentral lists this ribosomal RNA (800 nucleotides) under uncultured bacterium. RNAcentral describes it as "bacterial SSU rRNA". It matches the Rfam family "Bacterial small subunit ribosomal RNA", at positions 8 to 856 of the family's 1533-position model. The record is from RNAcentral.
AGAGUUUGAUCAUGGCUCAGAACGAACGCUGGCGGCAGGCCUAACACAUGCAAGUCGAGCGCCCAGCAAUGGGAGCGGCGGACGGGUGAGUAACACGUGGGAAUUUUCCUCAAGGUACGGAACAACUCAGGGAAACUUGGGCUAAUACCGUAUGAUGCAGAGAUGCCAAAGAUUUAUCGCCUUGGGAUAAGCCCGCGUCAGAUUAGGUAGUUGGUGGGGUAAUGGCCUACCAAGCCUGUGAUCUGUAGCUGGUCUGAGAGGACGAUCAGCCACAUUGGGACUGAGACACGGCCCAAACUCCUACGGGAGGCAGCAGUGGGGAAUCUUGCGCAAUGGGCGAAAGCCUGACGCAGCCAUGCCGCGUGAAUGAUGAAGGUCUUAGGAUUGUAAAGUUCUUUCGCUCGUGACGAUGAUGACGGUAACGAGAGAAGAAGCCCCGGCUAACUUCGUGCCAGCAGCCGCGGUAAUACGAAGGGGGCUAGCGUUGUUCGGAACUACUGGGCGUAAAGCGCGCGUAGGCGGCUUUGCAAGCCAGAGGUGAAAUGCCUGAGCUCAACUUAGGAAUUGCCUUUGGGACUGCGAGGCUUCGAGGACGGAAGAGGUGAGUGGAAUUCCCAGUGUAGAGGUGAAAUUCGUAGAUAUUGGGAAGAACACCGGUGGCGAAGGCGGCUCACUGGUCCGUUUCUGACGCUAAAGCGCGAAAGCGUGGGGAUCAAACAGGAUUAGAUACCCUGGUAGUCCACGCUGUAAACGAUGAGUGCUAGGCGUCGGCACGCUUGCGUGUCGGUGCCGCAGCUAAC